This 257-nucleotide ribosomal RNA is filed under the name uncultured Glomeromycotina. RNAcentral's name for it is "partial 18S ribosomal RNA". It matches the Rfam family "Eukaryotic small subunit ribosomal RNA", at positions 624 to 886 of the family's 1831-position model. Lineage: Eukaryota; Fungi; Glomeromycota. The record is from RNAcentral.
AAGCUCGUAGUUGAAUUUCGGGACCAAUUUGUUGGUCGUGCCUCGGUACGUACUGGUAUUAUUGGUUUCUCCCUUCUGAAGAACCUUGAUGUCAUUAAUUUGGUGUCUUGGGGAAUCAGGACUGUUACUUUGAAAAAAUUAGAGUGUUUAAAGCAGGCAUACGCUUGAAUACAUUAGCACGGAAUAAUGAAAUAGGACGUUUGAUUCUAUUUUGUUGGUUUCUAGGAUCGACGUAAUGAUUAAUAGGGAUAGUUGGG